ACUGCUGAGGAUUGUUUUGGAGAG
Molecule: non-coding RNA, 24 nt
Filed under: Arabidopsis thaliana (thale cress)
Lineage: Eukaryota; Viridiplantae; Streptophyta; Magnoliopsida; Brassicales; Brassicaceae
Source: RNAcentral